GGGGAUCCUGAGCUCCAGUAACUGCUGGAGAACCACUGGGAAGGAUAUCCUGCUAGCCUCUAUUUAUAGCUCCUCAGGAUGGAGGGGAAGGCUGUCACAGAACGGGCAAAAUAAAGCCUUGCCAUUGGCAGAAAACAGCCACACUGGAUCCCAACCUCAACUGUCCAGCGCCCUAAGGAUGGGCAAACAGCAAAGAAGGAAUGUGCAGCUCCAGCUUUAAAUAAACAGCCACCAGCACCUCUCAUCUGUUUGCCUCUAGGCACUUUUAGGUGGGGUAUCAAUUGUUUCAGGGGUACACAUUAACAACUGAGACACAGAACUAAGUGAAUGACAUGCAUUACUCAACACAAAUAGAAGAUUACAACACAGGAAAGUUGACUUUAUUCUAUUUCCAGCAGCAAGACUGCAGAAAAAAAAUCUUUAUUUCUAACUUUUAUAACCAGUAAACUAUGCCUCAAGCUUUCCAGAUUAAAGAAAAGGACAGGCAUCCCCUAAACUAAAACAUUUCAAGGAUUUAUAUGGCAGAUGUGUGGGUUCAGUGGGGGGGGGGAUUGUUUGUGUUUUGGGGGUGUGAUUUUUAAUUUUUUUUUUUUUUAAGAAAAAUGUUUGCUUGUUCUUAAAACCGUGUAAAGUUCUGUCCCAUUAUCCAGUACCUUUUGUGAUUUAUUUAUACUGUAUAAUUACUGUAACAUAACAUAUACACCUAACAGCACAUGAAUUCUAACUCGUGAAAGCAAACUCCUCAGAGGAAACCCACUCCACUACAGACCUGUCAAAUCCCACCCAUUCAGCUGGCAGCACCUGCUCGAAGUACAGCUGCAUGAAAAGAAAGCAGCCAAUACAAAACCCCUGCGUGCUCCUGCAGAAACACGAGGACUUGGACGAGGACACUUACUGGCAAAGCUGCAUUCAAAACGCAGGUCCAAAGAACAGGAUUGGCGAUGGCACCACAAUCCAACGUCAAUUAUGCAACCCGGGAGUUCCCACCUGCUGCCAGAGCCAAACUCACUUUUCUCCCUCCCCAAGCCCUUCUGCCCAAGAGGGGACACCAACCCCACAGCUUAGGGGACACCAGGUUUACAGCCACGCUUUGAACUUGGGCCCCCACCAUCUGAGAAAUUGCCACCAACACCAAACCCUCCCAAAAGCUCCAAAUAAUGGGAGCACCUGACGGACAGGGUUUCUCUCAGGAUUCCUAACUGCACCGCAGGAAGGCGUCCCGCCAUUCCUACGUGGAGAGGAAGAGGUACGGAUCCAAACACGCCCGUUGCCAGGACACGGAUUAGUCACGGGAUCCCCAGAAGCACCACUUCUGCUCUGCAGCCACCCUUCAGCACCAGCAGCGUCUGACAGGCACGGGGCACUGCCUGCACCACCCGGGUUUGGCGGCAGCACUGCUCUGCCAGGACCACUGCUCACACUGAGGCAGGAAAUUAACAAAUUGCUGCUCCCUCUUUCUAUCAACACUGAAAAUGGCACACGUGCGCGGUUCUGAUUUUUUGGGGAAGGUGGCUUUGCACCCUGCCAUCCCACUGGUUCAGGGCUGCUCAAAAAACCCCCCAAACACUGGCAAAUAAACAAAGCAUUAAGAGGAGCUGCAAGCUAUCCGCUUUUCCCUCUGCUCUUGCACGGUUUCGGUAGGAGGAGGACAUUCUCAGGUGUGUGCACGACAAAGCCUUGCAGAGAGUGAGCCUUACACAGCCUGAGUCCAUCACAGGGGAGCAGCUGCCAUUUCUCCUGUUUCUGUGCAACAGGCAGGCACAGCCAGCCAGCCGCCAACACGAACCUGGGAACAGGCUCUGGCUCAGCUUCAAGUGACUUUCUGUCCACGGAUGGUCUGCAAAGCCACGCUGUCCAACUGAGGCAGAGGUAUAACUAACAGCAAUUAAUAAUCAUACUGAAGUCACGUGUCAAAAACUUUAUACAGCAGAGGCCGAAUUGAGUUGCUAUGUAUCAUGCAAAAAACAA
This is a long non-coding RNA of Vidua macroura (Pin-tailed whydah), 1968 nucleotides long. RefSeq lists it as uncharacterized. The transcript has 2 exons. NCBI's taxonomy places the organism in Eukaryota, Metazoa, Chordata, Aves, Passeriformes, Viduidae. The record is from RefSeq and is a predicted model, not a curated record.